GACGAACGCUGGCGGCGUGCUUAACACAUGCAAGUCGAGGGGGCCCACGCAAUGGGUCGACCGGCGAACGGGUGCGUAACACGUGGGCAAUCUGCCCUUCACUCUGGGACAAGCCCUGGAAACGGGGUCUAAUACCGGAUACCACUCGCACGGGCAUCUGUGCGGGUUGAAAGCUCCGGCGGUGAAGGAUGAGCCCGCGGCCUAUCAGCUUGUUGGUGAGGUAAUGGCCACCAAGGCGACGACGGGUAGCCGGCCUGAGAGGGCGACCGGCCACACUGGGACUGAGACACGGCCCAGACUCCUACGGGAGGCAGCAGUGGGGAAUAUUGCACAAUGGGCGAAAGCCUGAUGCAGCGACGCCGCGUGAGGGAUGACGGCCU
Molecule: ribosomal RNA, 380 nt
Filed under: uncultured bacterium
Lineage: Bacteria
Description: bacterial SSU rRNA
Rfam family: Bacterial small subunit ribosomal RNA
Source: RNAcentral